UACUUGCCCUUCCUCUACUUUACCAACCUAUCACAAAAUUAUCAUCUAAAGAUUUUUAUUCUGACUGAAUACCUCCUACAUGACUGAAUACCUCCUACAUUAACAUGACGAUGAAUUAUAGUUUAAAUAAGAAUCUGUUUGUUUGCGCUCAACAUUGUUGUAGCACACAUCUUAUCCACAUGGUUUAGUAGUUACUUAAUAUUUGAAAAAAAAAGAAUCAUGUUUUCAAACUAUUUUUUAUUUUUUUUCUCAAUUCUUUUGUGUGUUUUAUGUAUUGAAAGCUCACCAACAAAAUCUGAAAUUGAUUUAGCGCAAGAGUCCAUUGAAGAACGUUUAAAGGCAUAUUCCAAUGAUAGCGAUAAAAUAAGAUAUUUAAUUCAGAAGAUGGCCAAAGAUCGUGUAUCACAUAAGCAAGAGCUCAUUGAUGUCGUUGCAAAAGUAUGUCGGCAAGGAGCUAAAGAAACAGUUCGCAAAGAACACACUGUUGGGCUUAGUCUGAAAGAAGCUUUGGAUCCUGUACUCCGCGCAUGUUUAACCAGCAAAGCAUUGGAUGUCCUGGAGAGGUUUGCAUUCAUUUAUGACCUGUACAAAAGUACUGACAUGGAUUGGUACGAGAAAUGGGCGUUUGCGCUCCUUAUGUUCAACAAUACAAUAUUGGAGAACAUCCGUGCAGAUCUUCAACGGUCAAACUUGAGCUAUGAACAAUUUGCUGGUGCUGCAUAUGAAAUACAUUCCUUGAUCCCUGAAGAAUAUGUUAAACCAGUCCUGCAAACGUGUACUUCAUAUCCAUUACCAACGAAGAAGGAAGAUAUUGAAACCUUCUGCAGCUUCCUAGACAUGUAUCUAGCAAAUAAAUAUAAUGAAACCGUAGCCAGUUCACUCAAACAAGCUGCAGAUUUGGUCUGUUUGAGCACCUUCAAGUACCACAAAGAGAUUGAGCACACUAAAGCAGCUGAGAAAGCGAGGCGGUACGCAGCGACUAUCAUCAUUGAAGAUGGUAUGUAAAAUUAUCAAAGGGGAAACUUAUAAAGAUCUUGUAACAAAGUUAAAAUCAAAGCGUAUAUUACCAGCAAAGACAUGGGAUACACAAAGCUCAGAUGAAAUGGACAUAGUGUUUCUCCUCAUUUGUAAACCACCCUUGUCAAUGGUGCAUGACCUAGCAACACAAAUAAAACACGAAUUGAGUGUACAGUUCCCUGGAAAAGUGGUGAGGUUGAUAAAAACACCCACAUCACAAGUUCUUGGGGCAGAGGAGUAACAUUCCUCAGUAAAUUAAUUAGGAACCAGUAAAAGCUAAAAUUGAAUUUUUUAAAGUAAUAAUUGUAAGCAUACAAUUUUUUCUUUUAAAAUUGGUUGAUCAAUUAUUAUUCUUUUAAUAAGUUUGAAUUUUAGAUGAUAUUUUCUACUCUAAUCCAUUUUAUUUUAAACUAUUCUUUUAAUUAUAUUGUAAUUUAAUUUGUACUUUAUACAUUGAAAAAAAAAUUAUAGAAGUUUUAGUAAUGGCUAGUAGAUGAUAAUCAAAUGAUUACUCAUUUUAAAAAUUGAGACAAAA
This is an RNA transcript of Planococcus citri (citrus mealybug), 1552 nucleotides long. RefSeq lists it as uncharacterized. The record is from RefSeq and is a predicted model, not a curated record. NCBI's taxonomy places the organism in Eukaryota, Metazoa, Arthropoda, Insecta, Hemiptera, Pseudococcidae. The transcript has 6 exons.